RNAcentral lists this transfer RNA (68 nucleotides) under Upogebia major. RNAcentral's name for it is "tRNA-Ile". The record is from RNAcentral. Lineage: Eukaryota; Metazoa; Arthropoda; Malacostraca; Decapoda; Upogebiidae.
GAUAUAGUGCCUGACAAAAGGAUAGCACUGAUACAGCUAAUCAUGUAAUAUUUUAAUUACCUAUAUCA